GACGAACGCUGGCGGCGUGCUUAACACAUGCAAGUCGAACGGAAAGGCCCUGCUUUUGUGGGGUGCUCGAGUGGCGAACGGGUGAGUAACACGUGAGUAACCUGCCCUUGACUUUGGGAUAACUUCAGGAAACUGGGGCUAAUACCGGAUAGGAGCUCCUGCUGCAUGGUGGGGGUUGGAAAGUUUCGGCGGUUGGGGAUGGACUCGCGGCUUAUCAGCUUGUUGGUGGGUUAGUGGCUUACCAAGGCUUUGACGGGUAGCCGGCCUGAGAGGGUGACCGGCCACAUUGGGACUGAGAUACGGCCCAGACGCCUACGGGAGGAAGCAGUGGGGAAUAUUGCACGAUGGGCGGAAGCCUGAUGCAGCAACGCCGCGUGCGGGAUGACGGCCUUCGGGUUGUAAACCGCUUUCGCCUGUGACGAAGCGUGAGUGACGGUAAUGGGUAAAGAAGCACCGGCUAACUACGUG
This 468-nucleotide ribosomal RNA is filed under the name uncultured bacterium. Its description in RNAcentral is "partial 16S ribosomal RNA". It matches the Rfam family "Bacterial small subunit ribosomal RNA", at positions 28 to 507 of the family's 1533-position model. The record is from RNAcentral.